UGCCAGCAGCCGCGGUAAUACGGGGGGGGCAAGCGUUGUUCGGAAUUAUUGGGCGUAAAGGGCGCGCAGGCGGCUGGGCAAGUCCGUCGUGAAAGCCCUCGGCUCAACCGAGGAAUUGCGAUGGAAACUGCCUGGCUUGAGUCCCGGAGAGGGUAGUGGAAUUCCCAGUGUAGCGGUGAAAUGCGUAGAUAUUGGGAGGAACACCAGUGGCGAAGGCGACUACCUGGACGGGUACUGACGCUGAGGCGCGAAAGCGUGGGGAGCAAACGGGAUUAGAUA
This 279-nucleotide ribosomal RNA is filed under the name uncultured bacterium. RNAcentral's name for it is "partial 16S ribosomal RNA". It matches the Rfam family "Bacterial small subunit ribosomal RNA", at positions 506 to 784 of the family's 1533-position model. The record is from RNAcentral.